UAGGGAAUCUUCCGCAAUGGGCGAAAGCCUGACGGAGCAACGCCGCGUGAGUGAUGAAGGUCUUCGGAUCGUAAAACUCUGUUAUUAGGGAAGAACAAAUGUGUAAGUAACUAUGCACGUCUUGACGGUACCUAAUCAGAAAGCCACGGCUAACUACGUGCCAGCAGCCGCGGUAAUACGUAGGUGGCAAGCGUUAUCCGGAAUUAUUGGGCGUAAAGCGCGCGUAGGCGGUUUUUUAAGUCUGAUGUGAAAGCCCACGGCUCAACCGUGGAGGGUCAUUUGAAACUGGAAAACUUGAGUGCAGAAGAGGAAAGUGGAAUUCCAUGUGUAGCGGUGAAAUGCGCAGAGAUAUGGAGGAACACCAGUGGCGAAGGCGACUUUCUGGUCUGUAACUGACGCUGAUGUGCGAAAGCGUGGGGAUCAAACAGG
Molecule: ribosomal RNA, 429 nt
Filed under: Actinomycetes bacterium
Lineage: Bacteria; Bacillati; Actinomycetota; Actinomycetes
Description: Actinobacteria bacterium partial 16S ribosomal RNA
Rfam family: Bacterial small subunit ribosomal RNA
Source: RNAcentral